UAAGACGAGCCACCCGAACGUUAUUCGGAAUUACUGGGCUUAAAGGGUGCGUAGGCGGUGCAGCAAGUCGGGAGUGAAAUACCUCAGCUCAACUGAGGAACUGCUCUCGAUACUGCUGUGCUUGAGUGAGACAGAGGUAAGCGGAACAUCGGGUGGAGCGGUGAAAUGCGUUGAUAUCCGAUGGAACACCGGUGGCGAAGGCGGCUUACUGGGUCUCUACUGACGCUGAGGCACGAAAGCUAGGGUAGCAAACGGGAUUAGAUACCCCGGUAGUCCUAGCCGUAAACAAUGAGCACUUGAUUGAAGGGCCCUCCAUAGCCCUUCAGUCGGAGCGAAAGUGUUAAGUGCUCCGCCUGGGGAGUAUGGUCGCAAGGCUG
This 377-nucleotide ribosomal RNA is filed under the name uncultured bacterium. Its description in RNAcentral is "bacterial SSU rRNA". It matches the Rfam family "Bacterial small subunit ribosomal RNA", at positions 521 to 896 of the family's 1533-position model. The record is from RNAcentral.